UGUGGCGCUGUCUUGUAUUCC
This 21-nucleotide non-coding RNA is filed under the name Caenorhabditis elegans. The record is from RNAcentral. Lineage: Eukaryota; Metazoa; Nematoda; Chromadorea; Rhabditida; Rhabditidae.